AGACUCGAGCAGUCUCUGGAACACGCUGCGGGGCUCCCGGGCCUGAGCCAGGUCUGUUCUCCACGCAGGUGUUCCGCGCGCCCCGUUCAGCCAUGUCGUCCGGCAUCCAUGUAGCGCUGGUGACUGGAGGCAACAAGGGCAUCGGCUUGGCCAUCGUGCGCGACCUGUGCCGGCUGUUCUCGGGGGACGUGGUGCUCACGGCGCGGGACGUGACGCGGGGCCAGGCGGCCGUACAGCAGCUGCAGGCGGAGGGCCUGAGCCCGCGCUUCCACCAGCUGGACAUCGACGAUCUGCAGAGCAUCCGCGCCCUGCGCGACUUCCUGCGCAAGGAGUACGGGGGCCUGGACGUGCUGGUCAACAACGCGGGCAUCGCCUUCAAGGGUAUGGGGAGGGGACGUGGCCUCCCCGAAGAAGAACCGAUGCACUGGGGCUCCUGGCGUCUGCGGGGUCCAUAACGCCUCCCUAGGGAGGAGAGGGAGGAGCUAGGAGAUGCAGGGAGUGCAGAAACCUUGGAGAAAGUGAGAGUUUUCCAGCCAAAGGGAACUUUGUGUUUCCCUGGCUGGGACUCUUGGGGAUCUUUUUCAGGUUUUCUGCAGUUUUUCUGAAUUGAGCUUUAAGGCAACUGGAUGGAUUUUGAACUGAUUUUAAAAUAAACGACAAAUUGCAAAAAGAAAAAA
RNAcentral lists this long non-coding RNA (677 nucleotides) under Homo sapiens (human). RNAcentral describes it as "novel transcript, antisense to SETD4". Lineage: Eukaryota; Metazoa; Chordata; Mammalia; Primates; Hominidae. The record is from RNAcentral.